RNAcentral lists this ribosomal RNA (495 nucleotides) under Triticum aestivum (bread wheat). RNAcentral's name for it is "partial small subunit ribosomal RNA". Lineage: Eukaryota; Viridiplantae; Streptophyta; Magnoliopsida; Poales; Poaceae. The record is from RNAcentral.
AUGAAAAAGGUCCCGGAGAACAAACCGCCAUCCUAUGGACGUGUGCACGGCAUCGGAGAUGGCACCUCGUGGAAGAUGUGCUACCGCGAGGAGCAAGAAGAAAUAAGGAACAGACGGUUGCUCAAUCAUCAUACCAUCGACGAGAAGGUCGCAAUUGCGAUCAAUAAGACCAAAGAUGAGACCAAAGAAGGGUUGCUCGGGGUAGGCAAUGCAGUGAUCAAUGACGCGGUUGCUGGUGUCAUGGCUAACUUCCAAUCUUCAAUUAUUACCAGCUUAAUUCCGGCAAUUAUCGAUUGGUCGAACAGCAAUCCAAAUAAAGGGCCAGAGGACUUUCCCCUUCCCAGCCACGUCAGGAGUAAUUUGGUGAACAUCAAACCACCAGCACCUUUUCAAGCAACCGCUAAAUAUCCCGCUCCUGUUCAUCGUAGCCCGACCUCCGUCUCUGGCAUGCUUGACGAACCUUUGUUUAUGGUGAGCUUGAUGCCCUCAUGGUAA